Molecule: ribosomal RNA, 996 nt
Filed under: uncultured bacterium
Lineage: Bacteria
Description: bacterial SSU rRNA
Rfam family: Bacterial small subunit ribosomal RNA
Source: RNAcentral
UGGGGGAUAUUGCACAAUGGGGGAAACCCUGAUGCAGCGACGCCGCGUGGAGGAAGAAGGUUUUCGGAUUGUAAACUCCUGUCGUUAGGGACGAUAAUGACGGUACCUAACAAGAAAGCACCGGCUAACUACGUGCCAGCAGCCGCGGUAAAACGUAGGGUGCAAGCGUUGUCCGGAAUUACUGGGUGUAAAGGGAGCGCAGGCGGGAAGACAAGUUGGAAGUGAAAACCAUGGGCUCAACCCAUGAAUUGCUUUCAAAACUGUUUUUCUUGAGUAGUGCAGAGGUAGAUGGAAUUCCCGGUGUAGCGGUGGAAUGCGUAGAUAUCGGGAGGAACACCAGUGGCGAAGGCGGUCUACUGGGCACCAACUGACGCUGAGGCUCGAAAGCAUGGGUAGCAAACAGGAUUAGAUACCCUGGUAGUCCAUGCCGUAAACGAUGAUUACUAGGUGUUGGGGGAUUGACCCCCUCAGUGCCGCAGUUAACACAAUAAGUAAUCCACCUGGGGAGUACGACCGCAAGGUUGAAACUCAAAGGAAUUGACGGGGGCCCGCACAAGCAGUGGAGUAUGUGGUUUAAUUCGAAGCAACGCGAAGAACCUUACCAGGUCUUGACAUCCGAUGCAUAGCACAGAGAUGUGUGAAAUCCUUCGGGACAUCGAGACAGGUGGUGCAUGGUUGUCGUCAGCUCGUGUCGUGAGAUGUUGGGUUAAGUCCCGCAACGAGCGCAACCCUUAUGGUCAGUUACUACGCAAGAGGACUCUGGCCAGACUGCCGUUGACAAAACGGAGGAAGGUGGGGAUGACGUCAAAUCAUCAUGCCCUUUAUGACUUGGGCUACACACGUACUACAAUGGCGUUAAACAAAGAGAAGCAAGACCGCGAGGUGGAGCAAAACUCAGAAACAACGUCCCAGUUCGGACUGCAGGCUGCAACUCGCCUGCACGAAGUCGGAAUUGCUAGUAAUCGCAGAUCAGAAUGCUGCGGUGAAUACGUUCCC